CGUGGGGAACCUGCCCCAUAGUCUGGGAUACCACUUGGAAACAGGUGCUAAUACCGGAUAAGAAAGCGGAUCGCAUGAUCAGCUUUUAAAAGGCGGCGUAAGCUGUCGCUAUGGGAUGGCCCCGCGGUGCAUUAGCUAGUUGGUAAGGUAAAGGCUUACCAAGGCGAUGAUGCAUAGCCGAGUUGAGAGACUGAUCGGCCACAUUGGGACUGAGACACGGCCCAAACUCCUACGGGAGGCAGCAG
RNAcentral lists this ribosomal RNA (245 nucleotides) under uncultured Lactobacillus sp. RNAcentral's name for it is "partial 16S ribosomal RNA". It matches the Rfam family "Bacterial small subunit ribosomal RNA", at positions 116 to 354 of the family's 1533-position model. The record is from RNAcentral. Lineage: Bacteria; Bacillati; Bacillota; Bacilli; Lactobacillales; Lactobacillaceae.